CACGAAACCUCAUUAAGCAAAAGGACUACAAUUAAGCCCGGAAUCCACGGUUGACACUCUCACCAUCCGUCUGUUGCUUCUGCACAGGCUGUGGGCAAGACAAGCGGCUCUCUCCUCGUUUCAUGGGCAGGGGGUGAUAACAGGGAGAGGCCAUCUUUAUUUGUCACUUAAUGGGCAACCUGGCCCUUCCUUCAGGGCAACCAGAUGCAUCUUUUGUCCUUAACCCACUUCCACGUGGAUGGCUGCCCAUCAAAUAAAGCAAGACAUCUGCCCGGAAGGGCCAAUUUACCUCAAACAGGGACACGUGGCUGCAGGUGAGGCUGGUUUCUGCUUUGCCCCUUGUUCUGUUCUGCCUUCCUUACUUGGGCUGCCUCAUCCUGGACUUUACCCCUUGCCUGUGUUCUUUCCUUCAUCUUCUUGGUCUGCCAUUCUCCUAUUUCUGAACUCUCUUGCUUUCAUUUUUUUUCCUCUUUGGACCUCCCCUGUGGUCAUCUUGCUCCCAAUCUCUAUUUCAAUAACUGCAGAGCCUAUAAGUAU
This 537-nucleotide long non-coding RNA is filed under the name Homo sapiens (human). RNAcentral's name for it is "HSALNT0046139". The record is from RNAcentral. Lineage: Eukaryota; Metazoa; Chordata; Mammalia; Primates; Hominidae.